RNAcentral lists this microRNA (21 nucleotides) under Bos taurus (domestic cattle). RNAcentral's name for it is "Bta-Mir-2408_5p* (star (passenger))". Lineage: Eukaryota; Metazoa; Chordata; Mammalia; Artiodactyla; Bovidae. The record is from RNAcentral.
GGGUGGGCAGGCACACGUGUG